RNAcentral lists this unclassified non-coding RNA (7010 nucleotides) under Daphnia magna. Its description in RNAcentral is "unconventional myosin-IXb, transcript variant X5". Lineage: Eukaryota; Metazoa; Arthropoda; Branchiopoda; Diplostraca; Daphniidae. The record is from RNAcentral.
UGUGUCUGCUGCGAAUACCAUCAGCCAUCAAGCCUGACUCACUGUGAGACUGAAUUUGCUGACUUUAUUCAUGGCCAAAACCUAUCAACAGACAGCAAGGAUAUCCCAGCUAUGACAGCCCAUCAUCUUUCCAAGUUGGUUUUCGAUAGUGACGCUACGUUUGAAACGAACCGGACUCUAGUCGCCGGAUCGUCUUUCAAUCGGUUAAACCGAACUGAGAGAGCUGGAUUUAUGCGGCUGGAAUCUGUGGGCGCGUGAUGAAGUUACGUCACCAUCGCCGCCAUCAUCAUCAACAUCAUGGAACCAGAAUCGCGAUACAUUGUACAGGUGUUUGUGGGUGCCUUGUCACCCGAAUUCGAGGCGCUUUCCAUCGAAGCCCUCAAAGGUACGACGGCCGACGAGAUGGUGUGCUGCAUCGUCGACAAGUUGCAGCUUCCCUUGCCCGUCGAGUCUUAUGAGCUGGCCGAAGUGGUGGGCAAUGCCAUCGGCCAGGAAUGCAAGGAAAGGAGACUGGCAUCUCAGGAACUGCCUGUCGCCCUUAUGCUUCUCUGGCCAAAAGUGUCGUCGCCCGCCCAGGAGACAGCCUCCGCUCUGGCCGCUUUGGCUGCCCACCGAAAGCUUCUGCAGCGCUCCGUGUCCAGGACGAGUGAAACCCGUCCAAUCGAAAGAGCCGAUGCGGAUGAAUCGCAACAGUCGGAAUAUCGAUUUUACCUGCGCGAGAAACUCAACGACACGCUCUGGUCGGAAGCGCUCAACGCGGACCCUCAAGUGAUCCGAGACUACUUUUAUCGCUUCUUGUACCAGCCGCGGGAUCGUGAAUACCCCGACCUGUGCCAGUUGCCCGACUUGAACGAAGAGACUUUGAUGGACAACCUUCGCGCCCGUUUUCAGGCCGGCCACAUCUACACCUAUGUCGGGUCGAUCCUCAUCGCCGUCAAUCCCUUCAAGUUUUACCCUAUUUACAAUCCGAAAUACGUCAAAUUGUAUCAAAAUCGCCGACUCGGCGAGUUGCCACCCCACAUCUUUGCCGUCGCCGACGCCGCGUACAACGCCAUGAUGCGCGAUCGAAAACCCCAAUGCAUCGUCAUCAGCGGUGAAUCCGGUUCGGGCAAAACGGAGUCGACCAACUUCCUGCUUCAUCACUUGACGGCGUUAUCGCAAAAGGGAAGCCAAGGUUGUGGCGUAGAACAGACCAUAUUGAGUGCCGGUCCCGUCCUUGAAGCUUUUGGCAACGCCAAGACAUCGCACAACAACAACUCGAGCCGCUUCGGCAAGUUUAUCCAAGUCAACUAUCGCGAGAAUGGACAAGUUCACGGGGCGCUCGUGCAAAAGUAUUUGCUGGAAAAGACAAGAAUUUGCUUUCAAGCGAAAAAUGAGAGAAAUUACCACGUCUUUUAUCACUUGCUUGUCGGGUCGUCUGCACAGGAAAAACAGGCUCUUCAUUUACUACCCCCCGAAGCUUAUAGAUACUUGAAUCAGAGCGAUUACCAUAAUCUGGAUGAAGGCGAUGAGUGUUACGAGUUGUCACGACUCAAGCAAUCGAUGGAGUUUGUGGGAUUCUGUACCGAAACCCAACGGCGAAUUUUCGCAGUCUUAUCGGCCGUCCUUCACAUUGGCAAUCUCGAGUUCCAGCCAAAGAAAUCGACCUACAAUCACGAUGAGUCUGUGACGGUUAAAAACACGGCCGUCGUGGCUACAAUUGCCCAGCUUUUGAGAGUCAAAGAGGAGAUACUGCACCAAGCGCUCAUCUCCAAACGGGCCAGAGCUUCCGGAGAAACGCUCGUCAUCAACUACCGCAUGCCGGAGGCGAUUGCAGCGCGAGACGCAAUGGCAAAGUGCCUUUAUGGCUCGCUGUUUGAUUGGAUCGUUAUGCAAUUGAAUCACGCCCUCCUUGCCAAAAAGGAUGCAGACAAAAUGCAACGUGCCUACUCGAUUGGUGUACUCGACAUUUUCGGUUUCGAAGACUUCGGUCACAUGAAUAGUUUCGAGCAAUUUUGCAUCAACUACGCCAACGAGCAUCUACAGUACUACUUUAACCAGCACGUUUUCAAGUACGAACAGGAAGAAUACAAACGCGAAGGCAUCCACUGGGUCAAUAUCCAGUUUGUUGACAACACGGGCUGUCUACAGCUUUAUGAAUCCAAGCCCAACGGACUUCUUUGCAUACUGGAUGAUCAGUGCAAUUUCCCCGGCGCCACCAACGAGACGCUGUUGCAAAAGUUCAAUUCAGUCAACAAGGAUAACGAAUACUACGAAGUGCCUCAGAAGCGCGAGGCUGCCUUCAUCGUUCGACACUACGCUGGCAAGGUCAAGUACCAGUCAAAUGAAUUCCGCGAGAAGAAUCUAGACCUGAUGAAGGCCGAUAUCGUUGCCGUACUCAAAUCGAGCCAGUAUGCGUUCGUUCGUGAAUUGGUCGGUGGCGAUCCGGUAGCUGUCUUCCGCUGGGCUAUUUUACGCGCCUUUAUUCGGGCUUACUUUGCCUUCAUAGAGUCCGGCAAACGGCAUCGCGAAACACAUGCCUCAGGUCCGGAUAGCUUGACGGGCAAGGGGAAAAUUGGCGAUAGUGGACGCAAAAAUAGAGUAUCCAAAGCACGAAGCCGGCCUUCGAAAAAUUGGCGCAAUUUGGAAACGGUUAAAACGUUAGCCGGCCGGUUAGGCCACAGUAGUUCGUCUUUGAAUUCGUCCGUAAUCGCCAGCGUUUCUUCUUCGCACGAAAGAUUGACCAUUACGCCGUCGGGUUCGACAACAGUCACAAUUUCUUCGGCCAGUAGCCACCAGUCGAUCCGAGGCGAGAGCCUCCUUGUUGUUCACAAAAACGUCAAAAAGGCACAGACGGUCGGUGCACAGUUCCAGCAUUCGCUUCAGAGCCUCAUGGUAGCCCUGAACACGGCCAAUCCGUUCUUUGUCCGUUGCAUCAAGAGCAACCGACUCAAGGGUCCCAACCAAUUCGACGAGGAAAUCGUCCUCCGUCAACUUCGUUACACGGGCAUGCUUGAAACAGUUCGCAUCCGCCAAGCUGGUUUCAACGUUCGUUUAACUUUCGAAGAAUUCAUUCACCAUUACCGAAUCCUGUUACCUCGGGGAUUGUUGAGUUCGCAAUCGGAUGUGCACGAUUUCUUGUGUCGGAUGAAUCUCAAUCCGGAACACUAUCAGAUCGGCCAUCAAAAGAUCUUUUUGCGCGAGUCGGAGAAAGCCAAACUCGAUUACCGAUUGCAUCAAGCCAUUUUGGCCAGUAUUGUCACCAUUCAGCGGUGGUUCCGCACUUGUCUGGAACGGCGUAAUUUCCUUUCCCUUCGCAGGGCCGUUGUCCGCAUCCAGUCGUAUGUUCGUAUGAUCAACGCACAACGUCAUGUCAUGAACUUGCGCGUUCGUCACAUGGCCGCCACUUUCAUCCAGAAAGUCUGGCGCGGAUAUCGAGUCCGGCAUUGGUACACGAAUCUCCGCUGUUCAGUCGUAAGUUUCCAAUGUCGGGCAAGAGGCAAUCUGGCUCGAAGGCGAUUCGAACAAAUGAAACAGCAGGGAGACGCCCAUUCCGGCAAGAGCACCGACGAAGCUUUUCUAUCCAAAGGAUCGUCGCAGGAAGAGCUGGAUAAAGAAACAAAAGAUCUUAUCGAACAACUCAGUUCGGAGGAGAGUAGCGGUAUACAGGAGGAUAGCGAGUCGGAACUGAUUUAUGCUGAGCUUGCGUCGGGAAUAUUGUCCUGCGCGCUGAAUUUCCCGCUCCAGUCGAUGGACGAAAAGCGAGAUGAUCUCAAAUCGAAAAAAGGUAAACCAUCCAUAGUCACGGCGGCAGCCAACGUGGCCGGAGUGGCUGGAUCAGUCGGCCAUUCGCCUCGUAUCGGUUCCAUCGAAGAACUGCUCCGUGGCUCUGGCGAAAGUGGCCGCACUGAAAAAAGCAGCGCCCUGCACAAAGCCAAAAAACAUUUGAAGACGCUGAUGGGCGGUGGCGCCAAACGGGAGAAGAGCGAUUCACUCCGCCAAAUGGCCGUUCAGGGUAGCGAAGAUCGCGACAGCGACUCUGAAAGUACAUUGGUCUCAGCGUCGCGAUCCACGUCGACACUCAACUCCGCCUCUGAUCUAGAGUACGACAUGAGGUAUGCGAGGGAACGCGAAGCGAGACGUGAAGAGCGGCGCAGGAUAAUCGCAGAAAGGCUGGCCAUCCGAAGCCGGGCCAACAGCAUUUCAGAUGAAUCCCAUUCGCCCACGUGCCCCAAUCCGGUGCUAUGUCGACGUUACAGUCGCGAUAUCGAAGCGGCCUCAUCGUCCAUUUACGGCUACGGUCACUCACAUGGUCACCUACACCAAAGUCAUUGCUGGACCUACAGUCACGCCGUUACCAGCCAUUUACCAAUAGCAAGGCGAGGCAGCAAAGAUGGCGGCCGAAGUGUCAGUGUGGACGGCUCUUGGAGAGGCAGUCGGGACAGUCUGCGUGAAAGAGCAGUGGGAACAGCUGCCGGAAUGACAGCAUCUCCUCUGGCAAGACGUCAAGAUAGGGACUCUAGCCAAGCAUCAGUGGCUGUGUCGGUGACGUCUUCCAACUCCUCGUCUACGGCUACUGUCCGUUCCAGUUUGAGUCAAGUCCACAAGCUGACACGGAUGAGUAAGCUAGCCAAGAACGAGGCGUGUUCACUCUGUUCCAAGACCAUGAGCUCCUUCUUCACCCACGGCUACAAAUGCACGUCGUGUCACUUGGUGUUUCACGCUAAAUGCGUCCAGCAAGGCAUGACAUCGUCGCAGGCCUUGCCACCCACAGUCCUUGAAUGCGCCCGUCCUUCGGCAAGUCCGACCCAUCCGGAUCCGGAUCCUGUCCAGAAGGGCCGCAAAGGAAGCCGUGAAACGGUGGACAGCUCUGCGGGUGUCAUUCCUUCGGCUGGCAACGAGAGUAGCAAAUGGAAUUUGACGGGCACGAGUGAAUUUACCGAUUCGACCCAAGAAGUGGUUAACGGCGGCCAACAGUUACACAGGCUGGACGAAUUUAUCGGCCGCAAAAUUCAGAACCUGGUGGACGACACGCGAGGCGACGCUGACCGCGUCUUCCUCUCGGCAUUGCGGGAACUGAGAGGUUCGCUUAUAUCGGCUUAUGGAGUUGCCUCUUGCCACGGUGGAGAAGAGGAAAAUCCGGCUAUUCGAUUAACGUACCGCGACCUCAUUGCCAAUUUUAGCAAAAUUGUCGAGUCGGUGUCGCGUGACGACACGAAAUUCCCCAAAACGCUGGUGGUUAAUGCGUUUCGCGGCUAUCUCAAUGAAUUUGUAGUUCAACAGAGGACUGACGAUAAGGAAAACAGAGCCAAAGGUGGCAAAAGGAGAAAGGAACGGUGGAAGAAACCGACGACCGACAAGAAUCAACGGGGCAGAGAGACGAAACGGGCCAAGGCUCAGGACGAUGGAUUGCUUCGAUACAUGGGCCAUGAAUUCACCACGCUUAACAGCGUCAUUACCAUCCCGACGGCCUGCGAAGUCUGCUCCUCGUUCACGUGGCUAAAGGAGAAAGGACUGGUGUGUCAGAGCUGCAAAUUCACGUGUCACAAGAAAUGUUACACCCGAAUCACCACGGCGUGUACGGCGUCAGCAGCCACACCUUCGGCUGGAGCCGGUUCCAGUGGAGCUUCAUCAAUGUCGGCAACCAUCAGCAUGUCGGGCUUGCCCAACCCAUCGACCGAGUCGCCUGGAAGCCUUUUCGGCGUCACUCUGGACAAAUUGGUUGCGUCUAGUGGCGCCGCCAGCGGCUCUCAGCAGCGUCUUCCGCCCAUCAUCGAGAGGCUCAUCUCCACCAUUGAACUGGUCGGCUUGUACACGGAAGGGCUGUACCGCAAAUCGGGCGUUUCGUCCCGGGUCCAGCAACUCAAAAAACUGUUGGAAGAGGAAUGCGCUUCCAGCAAAGAAGGGGCGGCCAGCAUAGUCGAUUUGCAAGAGCAACCCAUUCACGUCCUGACGGCCGUCCUCAAAGCCUUUCUGCGCGAAUUGCCGCAGCCGUUGUUGACCUACGAGCGUUACGACGACUUUCUACGCGCCGCCGACAUCGUUGACACUAAAGAACGCAUCUCUUCGUUGAUGGCACUCGUUCAAGAGCUGCCUCCGCAUCAUUUCGAUUUGCUGGAGCGGCUCGUUUUCCAUUUGACUCGGGUAGCCCUGAACGAGAAGUCGAACCGGAUGGGCCCCAACGCGCUAUCCAUCGUCUUCGCGCCGUGCAUCCUGCGCACGUCCAAGAUCCAGCAAGCGCAGGACUCGCUGUCGAAUGUCAGCAAGCAAACGUCAGUGGUGGAGACGAUCUUGACGGAACAGUUGCGCCGCGUCACCGAAACUCUGGCAGACAUUGACUCGCUCGAUUCCGUCUGCCUCGCUUACGUCGCCCGUCUCGGCACGUUGCGCUCGUCCAAAAUGUUCCCGUCGUCCACUGGCGUCGGAACGUGGGUGUUGCCCCAGUCGGACCCCUCAACGCCCGACGGUGCGGCUGCCGUAGCCAAAAAUCAGCACCAACGCAUCUUCCCGACCGUUUCGGCUCCGGCCUCUUCGUCCUCCUCUUCGCUGUCGUCUCUCUCGGCCCGAGACCACGUCACCGAAGAGCGCCUAAUCCAGCAGCAUUUGGAAGAGUUGCGCGAAGAGAAGGCCGCUCUGGCCGCUACGUUGCCGUCGCUCGCUCGCACCCCUAGCGACGACGAUCUUCUGUCCACAGACGGCGAUUUGGACGAUCAGGACAGUCCCAUCGGUGGCAGCGUCGAUGACCUUCCGGCCAGCAGUCAAUCACGCUCUGAUUCGCGACCAAAAGCUGCUGACUUGUAGACUCACAAAAGUCUUCCCUCGCUCGUCUGUCUCUCGUAAUAGACAAAUUUGGUUUCGUCUCGUACACACACACGCGCACACGACAUUCAUUGUCUUGCCAGUGUCCGGUUGUCUAUCCGUGUCCACCUCAUCCUCCUCCUCCACCUACUCAUCCUCCUCAUGUCCCAUCAAAACGGCCGCGCCAACUGAAUCAGCGCCACCACUAGCAGCAGCACCACCUGCGGCGCCGA